UCAAGUAAUUAAGUGCAUGUGGUGGAUGCCUUGGCAGUCAGAGGCGAUGAAAGACGUAAUAGCCUGCGAAAAGCUCCGGGGAGGCGGCAAAUAUCCUAUGAUCCGGAGAUUUCUGAAUGGGGGAACCCACCCGCUAUAAGGCGGGUAUCAUAAACUGAAUACAUAGGUUUAUGAAGCGAACGAGGGGAAGUGAAACAUCUCAGUACCCUUAGGAAAAGAAAUCAAUUGAGAUUCCCUUAGUAGCGGCGAGCGAACGGGGAGCAGCCCAUUAAGUUGUGUGUGUUCUAGUGGAACGCUCUGGGAAGUGCGAACGUAGAGGGUGAUAUUCCCGUACACGAAAGGGCACACACAAUGAUGACGAGUAGGGCGAGGCACGUGAAACCUUGUCUGAAUAUGGGGGGACCAUCCUCCAAGGCUAAAUACUCCUGACUGACCGAUAGUGAACCAGUACCGUGAGGGAAAGGCGAAAAGAACCCCUGUGAGGGGAGUGAAAUAGAUCCUGAAACCGCAUGCAUACAAGCAGUGGGAGCCGACUUGUUCGGUGACUGCGUACCUUUUGUAUAAUGGGUCAGCGACUUAUAUUCAGUAGCAAGGUUAACCGAAUAGGGGAGCCGUAGAGAAAUCGAGUCUUAAUAGGGCGUUUAGUUGCUGGGUAUAGACCCGAAACCAGGCGAUCUAUCCAUGAGCAGGUUGAAGGUUGGGUAACACUAACUGGAGGACCGAACCCACUGUCGUUGAAAAGCCAGGGGAUGACUUGUGGAUAGGGGUGAAAGGCUAAUCAAGCCUGGUGAUAGCUGGUUCUCCCCGAAAGCUAUUUAGGUAGCGCCUCGGACGAAUACCAUUGGGGGUAGAGCACUGUUUCGGCUAGGGGGUCAUCCCGACUUACCAAACCGAUGCAAACUCCGAAUACCGUAAAGUAAUAUCCGGGAGACAGACGGUGGGUGCUAAUGUCCAUCGUCAAGAGGGAAACAACCCAGACCGCCAGCUAAGGCCCCAAAUUUCUAGUUAAGUGGGAAACGAUGUGGGAAGGCAUAGACAGCUAGGAGGUUGGCUUAGAAGCAGCCACCCUUUAAAGAAAGCGUAAUAGCUCACUAGUCGAGUCGGCCUGCGCGGAAGAUGUAACGGGGCUAAAACUAGAAGCCGAAGCUGCGGAUGCAUAUUUUAUAUGCGUGGUAGGGGAGCGUUCUGUAAGUCUGCGAAGGUGUGUUGAGAAGCAUGCUGGAGAUAUCAGAAGUGCGAAUGCUGACGUGAGUAACGACAAGGGGUGUGAAAAACAUCCCCGCCGGAAGACCAAGGGUUCCUGCUCAACGUUAAUCGGAGCAGGGUGAGUCGACCCCUAAGGCGAGGCUGAGAAGCGUAGUCGAUGGGAAACAGGUUAAUAUUCCUGUACCUUUUACUGAUGCGAUGGAGGGACGGAGAAGGCUAUAUCUACCAGCGAUUGGUUGUGCUGGGGAAAGGUUGUAGGCAUGUGUCUUAGGCAAAUCCGGGACACUCUAUGCUGAGAACUGAGACGAACCUGUACUUGUACGGGGAAGUGAUAGAUGCCAUGCUUCCAAGAAAAGCUCCUAAGCUUCAGUCAGUAAGGGAUCGUACCCGAAACCGACACAGGUGGUCAGGUCGAGAAGACCAAGGCGCUUGAGAGAACUCUGGUGAAGGAACUAGGCAAAAUAGUACCGUAACUUCGGGAGAAGGUACGCUGUUGAGGGUUAAGGAUUUACUCCGUAAGCCUUCGGCAGCCUCAGAAACUAGGCCGCUGCAACUGUUUAUUAAAAACAUAGCACUCUGCAAACACGAAAGUGGACGUAUAGGGUGUGAUGCCUGCCCGGUGCUGGAAGGUUAAUUGAUGGGGUUAGCGUAAGCGAAGCUCUUGAUCGAAGCCCCAGUAAACGGCGGCCGUAACUAUAACGGUCCUAAGGUAGCGAAAUUCCUUGUCGGGUAAGUUCCGACCUGCACGAAUGGCAUAAUGAUGGCGGCGCUGUCUCCAGCAGAGGCUCAGUGAAAUCGAAUUCGCCGUGAAGAUGCGGUGUACCCGCGGCUAGACGGAAAGACCCCGUGAACCUUUACUGCAGCUUGACAUUGAACUUUGAUCUUACUUGUGUAGGAUAGGUGGGAGGCUUUGAAACUCGGACGCUAGUUCGAGUGGAGCCAAUCUUGAAAUACCACCCUGGUAAUAUUGAGGUUCUAACUCUGCUCCAUUAUCUGGGGCGAGGACCAUGUCUGGUGGGUAGUUUGACUGGGGCGGUCUCCUCCUAAAGAGUAACGGAGGAGUACGA
RNAcentral lists this ribosomal RNA (2273 nucleotides) under wastewater metagenome. RNAcentral's name for it is "bacterial LSU rRNA". It matches the Rfam family "Bacterial large subunit ribosomal RNA", at positions 3 to 2313 of the family's 2925-position model. The record is from RNAcentral.